Molecule: ribosomal RNA, 200 nt
Filed under: uncultured prokaryote
Description: partial 16S ribosomal RNA
Rfam family: Archaeal small subunit ribosomal RNA
Source: RNAcentral
AACGACAGGUCAGUAUGCCCCGAAUGUCCUGGGCUACACGCGCGCUACAAAGGACGGGACAAUGGGAAGCCAGGCCGAGAGGCCGAGCUAACCCGAAACCCGUUCGUAGUUCGGAUUGAGGGCUGUAACUCGCCCUCAUGAAGCUGGAUUCCGUAGUAAUCGUGUUUCAAAAUAGCACGGUGAAUAUGCCCCUGCUCCUU